This 535-nucleotide long non-coding RNA is filed under the name Anser brachyrhynchus (Pink-footed goose). RNAcentral's name for it is "lncRNA (ENSABRG00000014126.1)". The record is from RNAcentral. Lineage: Eukaryota; Metazoa; Chordata; Aves; Anseriformes; Anatidae.
CUGGGUAUACUUUGCUACAGACGGAAUUCUGAUGAGGAUGUUCUUAGUUUUUCUUACAUAAUCUGCUUCUUUUCAAUAAGUCUGUCUGUGAUUACAGUGGCAGCCAACAAUACAUAGUGACUCAAUGAGCUACCACGCAGAUGACUCAUCAGAUCUGCUAAGGUGACUGCAAGGCCAUCAAGACCUACAGGUUUCUGUCAGCCUAAUGACGAGGUGAGUGAUCACAGACAGCGCUUCUAAUUUGCAGUUGAUGCUGUCAAGACAGCACAUACUUUGAGAUUUUAUCACCUUCUGGACAACAGUCUGAGGGAACAAUAAGGAGAGCACGUGACAUUGGACUGUGAUGUUACUCUCCCUUUGACAUGCAGAAGAGCUGCAGCAGUGCAUCUCAAGAUCUGAAGUACAAUUUGUACUUUGAAAACACCCAAGGAUUCAGUUCCGUAUAUCUAAUUUUCCCCAUUUGAAAACCAGAGAUGUUACUUUUCCAAUGAAAUAAUUGAUUAAAUCCUUAAGGAUUAAGGAACAGAAAUGACAA